GUAGUUAGCCGGGGCUUCUUAGUCAGGUACCGUCAUUUAUUCUUCCCUGCUGAUAGAAGUUUACAAUCCGAAGACCUUCAUCCUUCACGCGGCGUCGCUGCAUCAGGCUUGCGCCCAUUGCCCAAUAUUCCCCACUGCUGCCUCCCGUAGGAGUCUGGACCGUGUCUCAGUUCCAGUGUGGCCGAUCAGCCUCUCAGCUCGGCUACCCAUCGCAGGCUUGGUGGGCUGUUAUCUCACCAACUACCUAAUGGGACGCGAACCCCUCCUUCAGCGGAUUGCUCCUUUGACCUCAUCCCGAUGCCGGGUCGUGGUCUUAUGCGGUAUUAGCACUUGUUUCCAGGUGUUAUCCCCCUCUGAAGGUCAGGUUGUUCACGCGUUACUCACCCGUUCGCCACUAAAAUUUAUCUUCCAUCCGAAAACUUCUGAUAAAUCUCCGUUCGACUUGCAUGUGUUAGGCACGCCGCCAGCGUCGUCCUGAGCAGGAUCAAACUACUGA
RNAcentral lists this ribosomal RNA (496 nucleotides) under uncultured bacterium. Its description in RNAcentral is "partial 16S ribosomal RNA". The record is from RNAcentral.